GGGUGAAAUCUUAUAAUCCUUGUAGGACCACCAGUGGCGAAAGCGUCAGACUGGAACGCGCCUGACGGUGAGGGGCGAAAGCCAGGGGAGCGAACCGGAUUAGAUACCCGGGUAGUCCUGGCCGUAAACGAUGCAUACUAGGCAAUGGUGCGGCUAUGAGCCGCAUCAGUACCGUAGGGAAACCGUUAAGUGUGCCGCCUGGGAAGUACGGUCGCAAGGCUAAAACUUAAGGGAAUUGGCGGGGGAGCACCACAAGGGGUGAAGCCUGCGGUUCAAUUGGACUCAACGCCGGGAAACUUACCAGGGGAGACAGCAGAAUGACAGUCAGGUUGACGACCUUACUCGACGAGCUGAGAGGAGGUGCAUGGCCGUCGCCAGUUCGUGCUGUGAGGUAUCCUGUUAAGUCAGGCAACGAACGAGAUCCGCGCCUUUAUUUGCCAUCAAGAAGUCACGACUUUCGUUGGGAACAAUAAAGGGACCGCCGUCGAUAAGACGGAGGAAGGAGCGCGCAAAGGCAGGUCAGUAUGCCCGGAAACCCAUGGGUACAGCGGGCUGCAAUGGUGCGAACAAUGGGCUGUAAAUCCGAAAGGAGAAACCAAUCC
Molecule: ribosomal RNA, 602 nt
Filed under: uncultured crenarchaeote
Lineage: Archaea; Thermoproteati; Thermoproteota
Description: bacterial SSU rRNA
Rfam family: Archaeal small subunit ribosomal RNA
Source: RNAcentral